GGAUGUGAUCAUACUAGCACUAAAGCACCGGACCCUAUCAGAACUCCGAAGUGAAGUGUUCUUGGGCACUAGUAGUACUAGGAUGGGUGACCUCCUGCGAAGUCCUUGUCGGUGUCAAAAC
Molecule: non-coding RNA, 121 nt
Organism: Triticum urartu
Lineage: Eukaryota; Viridiplantae; Streptophyta; Magnoliopsida; Poales; Poaceae
Source: Rfam